CCUACGGGUGGCAGCAGUGGGGAAUAUUGCACAAUGGGGGAAACCCUGAUGCAGCGACGCCGCGUGAGUGAAGAAGUAUCUCGGUAUGUAAAGCUCUAUUAGCAGGGAAGUAAAUGUCGGUACCUGACUUAGACGCACCGGCUAACUCCGUGCCAGCAGCCGCGGUAAUACGUAGGGGGCAAGCGUUAUCCGGAUUUACUGGGCUUAAAGGGAGCGUAGGCGGUAGCACAAGUGUGAAGUGAAAUCUCGGGGCUUAACCCCGGAACUGCCUUGAAAACUGUGGGGCUAGAGUGCAGGAGGGGUAGGCGGAAUGCAUGGUGUAGCGGUGAAAUGCGUAGAUAUUAGACAGAACACCGAUGGCGAAGGCAGCUUACUGGUCUAUAACUGACGUUGAGGCACGAAAGCGUGGGGAGCAAACAGGAUUAGAUACCCUUGUAGUC
This 440-nucleotide ribosomal RNA is filed under the name uncultured bacterium. RNAcentral's name for it is "partial 16S ribosomal RNA". It matches the Rfam family "Bacterial small subunit ribosomal RNA", at positions 338 to 795 of the family's 1533-position model. The record is from RNAcentral.